Molecule: long non-coding RNA, 216 nt
Organism: Lagopus leucura (white-tailed ptarmigan)
Lineage: Eukaryota; Metazoa; Chordata; Aves; Galliformes; Phasianidae
Exons: 3
Source: RefSeq, a predicted model, not a curated record
CCGCCCCCUCCCCCACCCCGCCCUGGUGCUGCCCCCGGGGCCGCGGUGCCGAGCGUUGGCCAAAGCUCUGCAGGAACCCACGGCAAAGCCGGAAGUGCUGAGGGCGCUGCUGUGGGAGGCGGUGGAGGCACAGCAGCAGCGGAUGGAGGAGGUGGCGGCGGGGCAGGGAGCGGAGCGACACCUGCGGGCUUUGGGGCUGACGGCGGUGGCGGGGGG